GCGAUGAGAAUUGCUACGUAUAGCAUUGGCUGUGUGAAGAAAUUACGGCCAGUGCUCGUGUGACAAUUCUCAUUACU
Nicotiana sylvestris (wood tobacco) is the source of this 77-nucleotide non-coding RNA. NCBI's taxonomy places the organism in Eukaryota, Viridiplantae, Streptophyta, Magnoliopsida, Solanales, Solanaceae. The record is from Rfam.